CCCAGGGGCGCAGAGAAGGGGUGGCUGUGAAGCGGGGCUGGGAGAUUAUUUUAAGUGAGAGAGAGAGAGAGAGAGAGAGAGAAAGACAGAAAGAAUCUCAAGCAGGCUCCACACUGUCAAUGCAGAGCCGGAUGCAGGGCUCGAACUCACGAAACCAUGAGAUCAUAACCUGAGCCGAAACCAAGCGCGGGGGUGCUUCAUGGACUGAAGCGCCCGGGGAAGGGGUGGCUGUGAGUGGGGACUGAAGAACUUGAGGGGCCUCUACUGCAGUCCCGAUGCCAGGCAGUGGUGGCUGCCCCCAGGGCACCGGUGACAGAGACAGAAGGAGAAGGGUGCAGCCUCACAGUCACAGGUGGGUCCUAAAGCAUGGCCGGUGGGUCGACGGUGCACGGGAGGGCAGGGCUUCGCGGGGGCUCUAAACACAGCGCUUGGCAGCUUGUCACUUCCGCCGCAGUUACGCAACUAAGCUCACCCUUCCCGAUGGCUCCUUGGUCCCUCGCCACACGGGAGUGUGCAGAUUUGGACACACCUGAGUCCUCUCAGGGGUACACAGGAAGUACGUGGCAUGCACUCCAUGAAAAGAAGAUGGAAAUAAUUUUCCAGGUAAUGAGAAAGGGAGAUGGUAUGUACUUUCAACGGCACAGAGAAUAUUCCCUCUUGUGUGAACUCAAGACAGCCCCUCGGCAGAGUCACCAUUUCUGACGGCUAUGCCAAUGCAGAGCAAGAAGCUUUUUUUUUUAAUGUUUGUUUAAUUUUGAGAGCGAGAGAGACAGAAUGAGUGGGGGAGGAACAGAGAGAGAGAGAGAGAGAGAGAGAGAGAGAGAGAGAGAGAGGGAGACACAGAAUCCCAAGCAGGCUCCAGGCUCUGAGCUGUAGAUCCCAACGAAGGGGCUGGAACUCACGCACUGCAAGAUUUUUUUUCUUUUUUUUUGCCACAUGACCAAAGUAUUUAUUCACUUCCUCAUCUUACAACAUUUAGGCAGCAACUGCACUAGAUACAGCAAUACAGAGAUAAAUAGGACACAGCCCAGAAACGACUGAAUCCGCCUGCAGUCUUGAUAUUAUGCCCAUCAGUCCUUGAGGGAAACAUAUUCGGUAUCAUCAUCUACAAAAUCAGAAUAGGAACAGCGAGAUCUUGACCUGAGCUGAAGUUGGAAGCUUAACCGACUGAGCCACGCAGGCACCCCAAUGGCUUUUCCUAAUGUAUUAAAGUAGUCACUGUCAUCAAAGUAACACCUCGAAGUAAGUUGAAAACACCUUCCAUCAUAUCCACCCCUCCCCCACCAUCCAUUCUUGUCUUCUCGUCGCAGCUUCGAGAUUCUCUUUGGCAGACUCACCCCUCUUCCCUGGGUUUCGCCCUUAGCGGGACUGGUGUGCUAACUACAGUAAGGUAGGGCAGUCAGGUGCUCUGUCUCUGUGGUAGGGAGAUUCUGUCCAGAGUCAGCCUGGUUCAAGCCGAAUCGGAGUGCCGUGAAGAGAUCAAAGCAGGCUUUGGGGACAGAGGUCAAGGAGAGAGGGGGACAGACAGGGGGGCUAGGGAAGACCUUAUAAGGUGGUGACGUUGAAGCUGAGACACAGAUGCCGUGAAGGAGAAAGCCAUCGUGAAGGUUUGGGGACAGAGUGUCUCGGACACAGGCUAGGACACAUGUAAAGGCUUUGAGAUGGGAACCAGCUUGGACGCUCCAGGAGGAGCAGGGAGGCCAGGGCAGGCGAGCCUUAGGACGUCAAGUCAGCAAGAGACGCAGAGGCCCCGUAGUGCUUUUGAGUCCCUGGGGAGGAGUUUGGCUAUUAUUUGGAGCAAAACAGGAAACCACGGGACAGUGUUGCAGACAAGGGUCACGUGAUCAGGUUCACGGUUUAGAAAUACCACUCCGAGAUCCAAGGAGAAGAAAGGGAAGGAGCAGAGAGCAGCAGUGAAGAUGAGAGGAAGUGGGCCGGUGCACGAUCUGUUCUGGAGGAGCUCAUGGGGCUUGGAGGCUGGACAGGAAGGAAGAAGGGAGGCAGGACGCCUUCUAGCUGUUGGGCCCGGGCAGCUGGCUGAACGGUGGCGCCACUAAUCAAGACGGCAGAGUGAGGGAAGAGAGGUGGUGGAGGGUACGGUUCUGUUUCGGAUAUGUUAAAUUUGAGAUCUUUGUGGACAUCCCAGAAGAAAUAUGAAGGGCAGGCCAGUCUGCAGCUCCAGGGGGAGGUUGCGCUAGAUAUAAAGCCAUUUGUUUAUAGAGGAUAAUACUUAAAAACAGUUUUUUACCUUUAUUCAUUUUUGAGAGACAGAGGGCAAGCAGCGGAGGGGCAGAGAGAGAGGGAGACAUAGAAUCUGAAGCAGGCUCCAGGAGCUGCACUGUCAGCACAGAGCCCGACAUGGGGCUCGAACUCAGGAACCAUGAGAUCAUGGCCUGAGCCAAAGUUGGCCACGCAACAGACUGAGCCACCCAGGCAACCUGAGCCCAUUCUUUAGCUAGAAGCAUAGGACCCUGGACGAGAACCUUAGAGGUUGGCCAGACCGCUCUCUAUCCAGCGCUGAGUUUUCAGUUUCUGCUUAAAUGCUUCCAGUGCUAGGGAGCUCAAUGCGAAAACUAAGCCCACUGACCCAAUCUGAGGAGGGAUGCGGAGACUCAGAGCACCAUGAAGCGAGGCUUUCUGCAAGAGCAGGUGUCUGACGGACAGGCACACUCCAGGCGGUUACAGCAGACACUUUAUCUCCUAGUGUGCAAGGGUCUCCCCUGCUUCCUCACUGGCCGAGAACUACUCGGUUACAGUCGUAUUUGGACGUCACCUAUACCCAUGGAAGGCAAAAAGUAGUGUGGAACAAAUGUACAUUCCCUGAGGUGACACACAGACUUCAGUCCCUCCUCCCUUUAUUCUCUGGCGCAUGCUCAUUACAAAGCCGUGAAAAUAAGCCCUUGAAACAGGGAGGGGAAGAAGAACCAGGAAGUGAAGUGUCUAAAGGUUUAGGACCUUACUUGGGCGGUGGGAUGUUCAUAUUUCCAGCAGGUUCUAAACCUGUUCACUGGACAGCACAGCCUUUAUUUAGUAUUUCUGAAAAUGAAUCAUCUCCCUCGCUUCUCACACUCAAUACGUUGUAAGACAAAAAGUCCUAGGAGUGCUAGCCUCUAUUCUUUAAAGAGUGAAAAAUUAUCCUUUAUUGAACAAAAGUCUUCCCAGGAUGCUCAACUGUCCCUCAGCAACCCCCCUGCCCUUGCUUGUAAUAAGAAUGCUGCUUCUGGCCACAGCACCCCCUGCACGGACGGCUGCAUCGGUUCUAGAACAUUGGAGGGUUUGGGGGGAGCUCUGUCAGUCCCAGGAGACAAGGCCAGAAAUGCCACCCAAGUAGUUGGAUCAGGAGAGAUUUGAGGGUUGUUUCUCUGCAACCACUUAUCUCUGACCUUGCUAGUUGGCUUCCAUCAGAGCCUGAGGGCUGUCAGCCUGUCUGUCUGUCUGAACCCAACGGUAAACAUGCUUCCUCUUUUUUUUUUUUUUUUUGUUAGCCUACAUUUAGGUCAGUAGAUGUAAACUCCACUUAAUAUUAAGUCAGUAAUUUCAUGGGAUUAAGUUGCAACCUAGCCGUAGAUGCACCAAACUAUUUCCUUGUAAAUGAAUCUCCUGAAUGUAAACCACAUCCCAGAGGCUGCCACAGACAGGUGAUCCCAGAGCUGGUGGAGAGGCAGAUCUCAGAACGCAGUGUAGAUGCUACUCUGCUAAGAAUCUUUGGGAAUUGACCACAGGCCUAGGAGAGAAUGUUCUCAUUCUUCUAAAGAAAGAGGAUUCAUGCAUCAUUUAUCCCAACCUCUAAAGAGUGCAAUGCUUAAUAGAAAUAGUUCUUGGGGUGCCUCGGUGGCUCAGUCGGUUAAACUGCCGAACUCAGGUCAGGUCAUGAUCUCAAGGUGUAUGGGUUCAAGGCCCACGUUAGGCUCUGUGCUGACAACUCAGAGCCUGGAGUCUGCUUCAGAUUCCGUGUCUCUCUCUCUCUCUGCCCCUCCCCUGCUGGCAUGCUGUCACUCUCUG
Long non-coding RNA from Suricata suricatta (meerkat), 4002 nucleotides. Lineage: Eukaryota; Metazoa; Chordata; Mammalia; Carnivora; Herpestidae. The record is from Ensembl.